GAUAACCAAAGAUCGCUCCUGGGUUGAGGGUAGGGUUGGUAAUGAUGCGAACAUCACCACCACCGGGUGCCCAAGUGUCAUAGACACCGCCAAAGGACAUGGCUUUGAACACGAGCAGGAAAGCACCCAGACCUAACAGAAUCAGGUGAUACCCGAUAAUAUUGGUCAUUUGGUUUUUGUCUUUCCA
Planktothrix serta PCC 8927 is the source of this 187-nucleotide non-coding RNA. Lineage: Bacteria; Bacillati; Cyanobacteriota; Cyanophyceae; Oscillatoriales; Microcoleaceae. The record is from Rfam.